RNAcentral lists this ribosomal RNA (510 nucleotides) under uncultured bacterium. RNAcentral's name for it is "partial 16S ribosomal RNA". It matches the Rfam family "Bacterial small subunit ribosomal RNA", at positions 28 to 507 of the family's 1533-position model. The record is from RNAcentral.
GACGAACGCUGGCGGCGUGCUUAACACAUGCAAGUCGAACGAAGAGCGAUGGAAGCUUGCUUCUAUCAAUCUUAGUGGCGAACGGGUGAGUAACGCGUAAUCAACCUGCCCUUCAGAGGGGGACAACAGUUGGAAACGACUGCUAAUACCGCAUACGAUCUAAUCUCGGCAUCGAGGAUAGAUGAACGGUGGCCUCUACAUGUAAGCUAUCACUGAAGGAGGGGAAUGCGUCUGAUUAGCUAGUUGGGGGGGUAACGGCCCACCAAGGCGAUGAUCAGUAGCCGGUCUGAGAGGAUGAACGGCCACAUUGGGACUGGGACACGGCCCAGACUCCUACGGGAGGCAGCAGUGGGGAAUCUUCCGCAAUGGACGAAAGUCUGACGGAGCAACGCCGCGUGGGGGAUGACGGCCUUCGGGUUGUAAAGCUCUGUUAAUCGGGACGAAAGGCCUUCUUGCGAAUAGUGAGAAGGAUUGACGGUACCGGAAUAGAAAGCCACGGCUAACUACGUG